UACAGAGAGGGGGUUUGGGGCUGGAUCCGUGGGACUGUUUCUGGGGGAUGAGUCUGAGGAAAGAACAGGAGACAAGGGUAAGGAGAAUGCAGAAGA
Molecule: long non-coding RNA, 96 nt
Organism: Etheostoma spectabile (orangethroat darter)
Lineage: Eukaryota; Metazoa; Chordata; Actinopteri; Perciformes; Percidae
Exons: 3
Source: RefSeq, a predicted model, not a curated record